AUUCCAGCUCCAAUAGCGUAUAUUAAUGUUGUUGCAGUUAAAAAGCUCGUAGUUGGAUUCCUGGCACGGGGUAGCCGGUCCGCCUUGCAAAAGGUGCGCACUGAGCGGCCUCGGCCAUCCUUGCGAUGGUCUAUCCUGGCACUCAGUUGUCGGGGUGGGGAUUCGCGACGUUUACUGUGAAAAAAUCAGAGUGUUCAACGCAGGCUUACGCCUUGAGUACAUUAGCAUGGAAUAAUGAGAUAGGACCUUGGCGGUCUAUUUUGUUGGUUUGCACGCCGAGGUAAUGAUUAAAAGGGACGGUUGGGGUUCUUAGUAUUCAAUUGUCAGAGGUGAAAUUCUUGGAUUUAUGGAAGACGAACUGCUGCGAAAGCGUCGAACAAGGACGUUCUCAUUG
This 394-nucleotide ribosomal RNA is filed under the name Aureococcus sp. RNAcentral describes it as "partial small subunit ribosomal RNA". It matches the Rfam family "Eukaryotic small subunit ribosomal RNA", at positions 582 to 975 of the family's 1831-position model. Lineage: Eukaryota; Pelagophyceae; Pelagomonadales; Pelagomonadaceae. The record is from RNAcentral.